GUAGAUGCAGCAGUACAACACUGAAGAUGGAUUGGUGACAGGUGGCUGCGACGGCCUCAUACCCGGCAGGCAUCCUGGUUGAGGAGUGCGCCGGACUGGUAGGUGCCCCAUACCCGGCAGGCGUCCUGAUGGGACCUCAGGUCUUAGAUGUUAGGUUUGGCUGCGAUGUUUGUUUGGUAUUAGGUCCAGACUAUCAGCAUCCCUUCAUUAAAUGGAUAGGAGUAGCGACACAUGUUGCCUGGACGGUGAGUUUGUAUGGUCUUGGGUGAAUAAUUAAUAAAAUAGCUGCAUGCAUCGUCCAGAUGCAGAGGCCGGGGUCCUCCUCCUUUUCUAAAAAAGAAGUAGGCAAUGGUGGCCAAGUUGAUCACUCUUGUUGCCGUCCUACGUCCCCGUGAAGCUGCAUCAGUUCAAUCCCAUCACAUUUCAGUUCAGUUUAACCUGGCCAGCCACAUCAGUUCAAUGUGUACUUUUGAAGAAAUGGAGAUGGCUGAAUAAUUAGUAACGAAUCGAUGGAUCUCACAAAUGGGAGGAAGCUACACCACUGAAUUGUUCCACUAAGUUGAGCAAAAGAAAAGGAAGUUCACAACAAAACAACCUUCCUGUUGCUCAUCGGUUCAUGGAAAAAUUUUGGUGGUAUGCUUUGGCACGAACCUUAGUACUCACUAGAUAGUUCAAGUUCAGCAAAGAUUUCAGGUCAGUGAGAUGUUGCAAGACAGUAUGGGCCAUUUCAGUUCAGGGAGAUGUUCAACACUACUGAAUUUUAGUUCAGGCUUUUGGGUUCUACCCUUGCUGCGCAUGGGUUGUACUUCACGUUUACGUCAAGAUCAGAUACCAUAUGCGCAGUGCCUCGUGUGUGUGCGAGCUAGCUAAUCAUUCUGCUAAAAAUAUAGUGUUUGUUUCAGCUUGUACGUAUAAACAUAGAUUUAGCCCAUUCGAUAUACUACAAUGCAUUGUUUUGGUAAUUCUACUUGUACAUAAACAAAAUAUUUUUGUGUCUAAUGGUGGCCGUAACAUAUACAGUUCUACCUAGAAAAUUGUCGAAUUGUGGCACAUUUUGCUCAGCAGAUACAGAUACAGUGUUACCUGAUGUUGUUUCUGUGAGCAGCCUGGUGUCUUGGUGGUGAUGCAAAUUCGCUUGGGAAGCUUGACAUAUCUGGGGGCUUGGGUGAAGAAAACAAGGAUGCGCACCCGGUGCCGGUGCCGCGCCUGCCAGGUAACAGGGCGACCACCAAAAGCACCUGGAUCUGUCCUCUUACGGUCUUCUCGCCGCCGCGGCACACCAACCCGCCGGACUAGCGCUGCCCCAACCGGGCAUCCCCUCACCGCCGCAACCCUUCAGCUCGUGCACCUAGCGAGCAUCACUGCAACCUCAACCUCCACCACCACUGAAGUUCGUCCUGUCUAGCGACUCCAGUUCGCUUCUUUUUAUAGUUUCAAUUCCUUGGUUGCAUGCUAUAUUCGGUGGUGUUGAUGUUGGUUGUAGGGGGAGGAAGUUGAUGCAUUAGUUUUGAUACAGAGAAAUCUUAGUGGUUCAAAUGGGCGAUUUGAUUUUUUGCCACAACUUACAUUGCACUUUGAUAAUUUGCCACUAGUUACAUUGUAAUUAAUCAUUUGCCACUCUUUAGUUUGGACUUUGGUCAUUUGCCUUUUUGCCUCAAAAACAACCAUUUCAAUUGUAAGUGAAAUUAUAUGCCUAAAAAUAGUGACCAAACUACCCUUUGCACCUGUUUGACCCAAACCAAAGGGCUCCGACUCCAACUCGACCCG
Molecule: long non-coding RNA, 1767 nt
Filed under: Triticum aestivum (bread wheat)
Lineage: Eukaryota; Viridiplantae; Streptophyta; Magnoliopsida; Poales; Poaceae
Description: long non-coding RNA (TAES_LNC012020)
Source: RNAcentral